AGUGAAGCGGGAUGAGCUCAAAUUUAAAAUCUGGCUGGUUUACUAGUCCGAAUUGUAGUUUAUAGAAGCGUUUUCGGUGGCAGCCUGGGUAUAAAUCCUUUGGAAUAGGGUAUCAUAGAGGGUGAGAAUCCCGUCUUUGACUCAGUGCAUGCUACUAUGUGAUACGUUUUCAAAGAGUCGAGUUGUUUGGGAAUGCAGCUCAAAAUGGGUGGUAAAUUUCAUCUAAAGCUAAAUAUUGGCGAGAGACCGAUAGCGAACAAGUACCGUGAGGGAAAGAUGAAAAGAACUUUGAAAAGAGAGUUAAACAGUGCGUGAAAUUGUUGAAAGGGAAACGCUUGACACCAGUCAUGCGAGUGGAAAAUCAGUCUUUUGCAAUGGGGAGUUGUGGGCGUUCAGACCGCAAGGCUGGCGUUUGCUUCAUCUUUGUUGUAAGUGAUGCACUUUUUCAUUUGCAGGUCAACAUCAGUUUGCUUUGCUGGACAAAACCCCAAGGGAAGGUGGCAGCUUAGGCUGUGUUAUAGCCCUGGGGCGAUACAGUGGAGUGGACUGAGGUUUUCGCAGUGUGUGCUCUCUGGGCAAGGCUGACUGGGUGCUAUGGGAUCGUUCGGCGUACAAUGCAUGCAUUUUGCGUCGUGUCUUUUUCAUACUCGCUCAACUCGGCUCUUCCACACUUAGGAUGUUGACUUAAUGGUUUUAAUCGACCCGUCUUG
This 710-nucleotide ribosomal RNA is filed under the name Mortierella sp. FSU 10443. Its description in RNAcentral is "eukaryotic LSU rRNA". It matches the Rfam family "Eukaryotic large subunit ribosomal RNA", at positions 92 to 656 of the family's 3401-position model. The record is from RNAcentral. Lineage: Eukaryota; Fungi; Mortierellomycota; Mortierellomycetes; Mortierellales; Mortierellaceae.